Eucalyptus grandis is the source of this 1492-nucleotide RNA transcript. RefSeq lists it as uncharacterized. Lineage: Eukaryota; Viridiplantae; Streptophyta; Magnoliopsida; Myrtales; Myrtaceae. The record is from RefSeq and is a predicted model, not a curated record. The transcript is spliced from 2 exons.
CGUGAGCAAGAUUAUCUCCUCCCGCCAGUGUUUGUCCCUUCGUACGAAGGAACCCCACACUGUGACUUCCACCAGGUAUUUGUGAUUUUACCCAACUGAAUCCUUUGUGUAAUUCACGGAUUCAAAUGUUUUGACUACUAGUUUCGUGAUAUUCUUUCUCUCUUUUUUUAGUUUUUUCCUGUUAUAUUGAUGCCCUGGUCAAUCUAGAUGGAUGAGUUUAUUCCAUUUCCACAUAAUUUCGUAUAAAAUUUUUUGGGAGGGUUGCUGCUGUCCCUCGGUUUAAUGCUGUUAUGAAACCGGCUUAUGUUGUGUGUCUCGUAGAAUUGUCCUCGAUGAGAUUUUUUCUUAUUAUGUAUGGGAGGCUCAGUCUAGUGAGGACUUCAGUUCUUCAAAGGUUUACAGGUACCAACUCUUGACAAUACUUUAGUGGAAGAAUCUAAUCGAGCCUAACAAAUGGCAAGAGUGGCACAGAGCAUGGGAGGAAGUUUCCAUCUGUAUUUGGAAAUCUGUGAAGUUCCUGUUAUGUACCAUUUGAGAAGCCCAAGGCCUGGAUCUCCUUCUAAUUCGGCUCUCGAUUUCAACUUCAUCGCUCGUCUUCAAGCUUCGGGAAUCGGUAUUCAGAUUUCUCGCCGCAUUCGUGCUCUUCAAUCGCGAUGCUCUCGCGCUUGAGCUUCAAAUCGUUUACUCGGUCGAUGAACUCGAGCUUGUUACCCGGACCCUCAACAACCCGAAGCCUUUGAGCUUCCAGUUUUCACUUAGCAUGGAAGUUUAUAAACUCAUUCGAUCGCUCCAACAGGAUCAAAUCUCUCUCAUUCUCUGAUUUCUAAUUAUUAUUAUUUUUUAUUCAAUUGGCGACAUUGAUUUCUCGAUAUCUCGCGUGUGUCACCAGCAUUUUGCCCCGGUCAGCGCUGAUUCCACCGACGCAAUCAGUGUAGGAGCUCAUCUCCAGCGACGCUAUCGAUUCAGGAUCUAUAUUUCCUCUUCACCGAGCUUUACCUUUGAUUCUUUCAGAUGUUCGUCGCUGAAGUCUGUUCUUUUUAGGUUGUUGAAGAUCGCGUUGGAUCGGAUUUCCUCUGUUAUGCUCUGUUUUCCGGUCAGAUUGAUCGAAGUAUUCAAAGCUGAUUCGUUUUUCCUUCAUUGGCCCAAUUUUCAACACCAACGCUUCCACGACGUCCGCUCUCCGGUCCGAUCACCAUUCGUAGCCAACCACUGCGCUUUCAAAGAAUGAGCAAGCUGGAAUGCGUAUCGAGAUUCUGAGAUUCGUUUGAGUCGUGAAGGAAAAGAAUCUGAGCUUUAUGGCUUGAUGAUGCUGAAAGGCAUGAACAGAAAUGGUGAUGAAAAUGUAGAAGUAGGAUUUGUGUUCUAGGAAAGAAAUUCUUGAAUCGCCUUUAUAUAGGUGAGGGGAUUUUUUCGUUAAUGAGUGGAUUUUAGCUGCGUUAAUAUUGUCUACGCAAAAAUAACUACGAAUAAGAAUUGUUCUUCACGAUCUCCA